GAAAGUAAAGAAGGGCGCAUGGCGGAUGCCUUGGCUCUCGGAGGCGAUGAAGGACGUGAUAAGCUGCGAUAAGCUUUGGGGAGGUGCAAAUGACCUUUGAUCCAGAGAUUUCCGAAUGGGACAACCCAAUAUCUUGAAGAGGUAUUAUCUUACUAUGUAAGAGGCUAACGCAGGGAACUGAAACAUCUUAGUACCUGCAGGAAAAGAAAAUAAACAAUGAUUCCCCUAGUAGUGGCGAGCGAACGGGGAACAGCCCAAACCAUCCAUGUUACGGCAUGGGUGGGGUUGUAGGACUACGCCGUUGCAUGAAGACAUCAGAGAAGAACUUUCUGGAAAGAAAGACCAUAGAGCAUGACAGUUGCGUAUUCGAAUGUUGUCGAAGCAUAGUAGUAUCCUGAGUAGCGCGGAGCACGAGGAAUUCUGCGUGAAUCUGCCGGGACCAUCCGGUAAGGCUAAAUACUCCCGAGAGACCGAUAGCGAACCAGUACCGUGAGGGAAAGGUGAAAAGCACUUCGAACAGAAGAGUGAAAUAGUUCCUGAAACCGUGCGCCUACAAGCGGUCGGAGCUCGUUAAUGAGUGACGGCGUGCCUUUUGCAUAAUGAACCUACGAGUUGCCUUUGCCGGCAAGGUUAAGUGUGACGACACACGUAUCCGAAGCGAAAGCGAGUCUGAAGAGGGCGUAUAGUCGGCAGUGGCAGACGCGAAACCAAGUGAUCUACCCUUGGCCAGGUUGAAGGCUGGGUAACACCAGCUGGAGGACCGCACCAAUAAGCGUUGAAAAGCUUCUGGAUGAGCUGAGGGUAGGGGUGAAAGGCUAAUCAAACUUGGAGAUAGCUCGUACUCCCCGAAAUGCAUUUAGGUGCAGCCUUGCGGGUUACUGAUGUGAGGUAGAGCGACUGAUAAGAUGCGAGGGCUUCACCGCCUAUCAAGUCUUGACAAACUCCGAAUGCGCAUCAGUUCUACCGCAGGAGUGAGGGCAUGGGUGCUAAGGUCCGUGCCCGAGAGGAGAAGAAUCCGGACCACCUGCUAAGGUCCCGAAAUGACAGCUAAGUUAAACUAACGAAGUCUGACUGCUAAGACAGCUAGGAUGUUGGCUUGGAAGCAGCCAUUCAUUUAAAGAGUGCGUAACAGCUCACUAGUCGAGGAGUCGGGCGUGGAUAAUAAUCGGGUAUCAAGUUGUCUACCGAAGCAGUGGGAUCAUUUAUAUGAUCGGUAGGGGAGCAUUCCAGUCAGCGUCGAAGGCGUACCGUGAGGUAUUCUGGAGCGUCUGGAAAAGCAAAUGUAGGUAUAAGUAACGAUAAAGGGGGCGGGAAACCCCCUCGCCGAAAGACUAAGGUUUCCUGAUCAACGCUAAUCGGAUCAGGGUCAGUCGGGUCCUAAGGCUCAGCCGAACGGCGAUGCCGAUGGCAGAAACGGUUAAUAUUCCGUUACUACCUUCAGGAGUGACGUGGAGACGCAGUAGUGACAGUGCCGCCAUCUGACGGAAUAGAUGGUUGAAGGGUGUAGGAGUCGAUCAUGGCAGGCAAAUCCACCAUGAGAUCCGAACCUGACAGUAUGCCGCGUCCUUCGGGACAAGGCAAUAGUGCGCGUAAGCAUGCUGCCGAGAAAAUCCGCUAAACUUAAUCCUGCAGGUACCCGUACCGCAAACGGACACACGUAGUCGGGAUGAAUAUUCUAAGGCGCUUGAGUGAUUCACGGUUAAGGAACUAGGCAAACUGACCCUGUAACUUCGGGAUAAAGGGUCCCUACCCUUUUAUGGGAGGGCGCAGAGAAUCGGUCCAGGCAACUGUUUAACAAAAACACAGGGCUGUGCCAAAUCGAAAGAUCCAGUAUACAGCCUGACACCUGCCCGGUGCUGGAAGGUUAAGAGGAGAUGUCAUCGAUAAGAGAAGCGUUGAAUUGAAGCCCCAGUAAACGGCGGCCGUAACUAUAACGGUCCUAAGGUAGCGAAAUUCCUUGUC
RNAcentral lists this ribosomal RNA (1962 nucleotides) under human gut metagenome. RNAcentral describes it as "bacterial LSU rRNA". It matches the Rfam family "Bacterial large subunit ribosomal RNA", at positions 1 to 1973 of the family's 2925-position model. The record is from RNAcentral.